UGGGGAAUCUUGCACAAUGGGCGAAAGCCUGAUGCAGCGACGCCGCGUGCGGGAUGAAGGCCUUCGGGUUGUAAACCGCUUUCAGCAGGGACGAGGCGAAAGUGACGGUACCUGCAGAAGAAGCCCCGGCUAACUACGUGCCAGCAGCCGCGGUAAUACGUAGGGGGCAAGCGUUAUCCGGAUUCAUUGGGCGUAAAGCGCUCGUAGGCGGUCUGUUAGGUCGGGAGUUAAAUCCGGGGGCUCAACCCCCGUUCGCUCCCGAUACCGGCAGACUUGAGUUUGGUAGGGGAAGGUGGAAUUCCUAGUGUAGCGGUGGAAUGCGCAGAUAUUAGGAAGAACACCAGUGGCGAAGGCGGCCUUCUGGGCCAUAACUGACGCUGAGGAGCGAAAGCUAGGGGAGCAAACA
RNAcentral lists this ribosomal RNA (406 nucleotides) under uncultured bacterium. Its description in RNAcentral is "bacterial SSU rRNA". It matches the Rfam family "Bacterial small subunit ribosomal RNA", at positions 355 to 774 of the family's 1533-position model. RNAcentral also lists the same sequence under 1 other name. The record is from RNAcentral.